RNAcentral lists this ribosomal RNA (259 nucleotides) under uncultured bacterium. RNAcentral's name for it is "partial 16S ribosomal RNA". It matches the Rfam family "Bacterial small subunit ribosomal RNA", at positions 524 to 777 of the family's 1533-position model. The record is from RNAcentral.
UACGUAGGGGGCAAGCGGUUGUCCGGAUUUAUUGGGCGUAAAGAGCGUGUAGGCGGCCAUACAGGUCAGCCUGUGAAAACUCGAGGCUCAACCUCGAGACGUCGGUUGAAACCGUAUGGCUAGAGUCCGGAAGAGGAGAGUGGAAUUCCCGGUGUAGCGGUGAAAUGCGCAGAUAUCGGGAAGAACACCCGUGGCGAAGGCGGCUCUCUGGGACGGUACUGACGCUGAGACGGCGAAAAGCGUGGGGGAGCGAACAGGG